UAUCUAUUGGGUCUCAGGUGUCUGACGUUUGAAUUUUCAGCCAUUCAAUCGGAGGAUCCAAUGGCCACACGAUUUCUUCUUCCUCCCGCCCGACGUUGCCUCCUCGUCCACCCCCAUCGUCGUCGUUGCCCCCGCCGCGACCCUACCCGCUAGCCGUCAUUCGCCACGCCGGCUAGUGGCAAUCCUCUGUCCACUUGACUCCGGUGAGCCCUCACCCCCAAACUCUAACGACCAACCCAAACCCUAACCUCGUCGAAGCCUCUGAGCACAAAAUCGUGACACAAAUCCUGUGGCCAAAGGGGGAAGAAACACUCAGUCUGCAGGUACAAGAAUUUGCAGAUGGCGUAGAGAAAAGAUCUUACAAAAUCAGGGGGCUUUUUUGUUCUAUGCCAAUUCUGGAGUUAAAAAAUAUAAUUGAUAACAUGGACCAAUUUUAGCAAGCAUUUGGUUUGUUACCAAAGUUUGAUUCGCUUUCUUGAAGGGAUUCUGUUCUUCGCGUCCCUGUUUGCGUAUCUCCUCAGCAAUUUUAAAGGCGGCGGUAUGGUGUUAGUUACAUGGGUUCUUGGCGUAUGGUGGGUGCCCUCCUGAUUCUUAUCUUAAGCUUCUUUCGGCCUAUUUUGAUUCGAUUCGAUUUGCCUUUGGAACACGUUUUCCUGUUGUCACGUUGAAUCGAUGUGCUCAUGGAUUGAUCAUCCUUGCUUAUUUCUCAGACAUUCGGGCUUAUUUCUCAGAGAACCGGGAAGGUUUCAUGAUUGAUCUUUGAACAUGGUUUUGGAUUGUGGAUGGAUUCUUUCAGGUGGGCAACUUAUUUUCUGAGGAUGCUAUCUCUAUUCUGAUUUGGGUAUUCUUUGUGGGAUUUCAGAUUUGGUUUGGGAUUAGGUAGCUGCUGCUUUCAUGUAUCGAACUCUCUUACUGCUUCCUAAGUUCCUAUUGAUUUAGAUGUUUUCUUUCUAGAAAUUUUUGUGGUAUCUUUUGAUGGAUUUUUUUUUUCCUGAUGGCUACAUUUUCCCUUUAAGGGACAUUGGAUUGGGUGGAUCCUUUGAAGAUUUCAGUGCCCAUUUCAACAAUGAACUAACAUGUGUGGUCCUGGGUUAGUUAUUCAGAUGGAAUUUUUCAUCAGCAGAUUGGCUGGAAUUGGUUUCGUAGGAUCCUGGCACUUCGAGUCUUCAAUGCAUUUCUGAGAUGAGAAAAAUCAGCUUGUCCAUGUAAAAAAAUUUCAGGCGUUCGGUAUAGAUGAGGGAGAUAGGAAAUAUUUGACUAUGCAGUCCUUUUGAUCAUUUACUUUUUAGUUACUGUCUGAAAAUUUGUCUGUAUGUUCCCUUUUUUUCCUCAUAGGAUUAAUAAAUAUAUGCCAGCAUGUGAAAUAAGAGAGAUUUUGAUUUUGUUUUACUUUCGCGCAUUGGAGAUUGUUUUCUUUCCACCUCUCAUAUAGGAACCUUCGUUCAUUUCUAUCCAUCCAGUUCUUUCAUGGGAAAGAAACUCAAUAGAUUUGUGCGAUAGGCUUUCACUACUUUGUGUAAAGGAACAUGUUUUGGUGGCUUCUAUUAGGCCCAGUCCAUAAGGCUAUUUUGUUUCGAUGAUUAGUCUGGUCCAAAUUUCACAAAUUUGGAGAUUAUUUUUAGAGUGAGUUUUCCUUUCGAAUGCAACUUUCUUGCUCAACUUACUUGGAUAGGUUUUUGGUGGAGAGGCCGCUGGUAUGUUGAGCAGAAUUGCUUCAGUUGGUCAUAGCAUUCUACUACCCCAAUGUGGAGUCCGCCUGUAAGCCGAGCACAAUUCAGGCUUCACAUGGUGUGAUCACUGGUGAUGUGGCUGUAAUCUCCACUGUUUGUCAUGAUUACAUUCUAAGCAAUGUCUACAUGGCAUCAGCCUGAUCACCAUCAACAGGCAUGGAAUCGUUGUAGUUUGCCUGAGCAUACAGCGCAUUCCUUCGCCCACGAUUGUGCCCAUCUGUACCCACCAAAAGAAAGGGAUUCGUCAAACGCUUGGCAACAGCAAGCUCGGGGACAUUUAAAACUUAGGCCACAUGGUGCUAUCAUGAAGACCUCAUAUGCUUAUUGCACAUAAUAAAUGUCGGAAAAGAUGUCCACUGUGUUACAAGGACACUAACACCCUCCAGUGGAAAUACGGCAUAAUAUAUAAUAUGUAGAACAAAUGGUGUACAUCCAGCAUCUGGAACAUCUCUUGUUUGGGGUAACCACCCUAAACUGGAAAUAGGAAUAAGGGUGUGUUUAGGAGUAAGGGCGUAUUUGGUUCCCAGCCCCAACAGGCCAAGCCAAAUUUUGGCCAUGGACAAAUUAAGGCAAUGCCAAAAUUUGGUAGGAAAAAAUAUUGUUUGGUUCGUGACUAAGUCAAAGUUAGGGCAGUGACAAUUAAGGCUGUUUGGAUUGCAGCCAUGCCAAAAUUUCUAAAAGCUGUGAGUAUAACAUAUGAGAUACACAUGUAACUAAUUUUUUUUUGCACCAAAAUAUAGUCAACAUGGGUCUUGAUUUGUAGAAUUAAUUACAAGGAAUGCAACGGUGCAAACAGAUUAAAAGUCAGAUACAUGGUUUAGGAGAUAUUGUGAUUUAAAAUUUGUUAAUCCAAAGCUUUUGAAAUGCGUGCAGCCAGUGGGCAGCUGCCACCUCAGCCAGUGGCCAAGUCAAAUGC
Long non-coding RNA from Phragmites australis (common reed), 2646 nucleotides. RefSeq lists it as uncharacterized. NCBI's taxonomy places the organism in Eukaryota, Viridiplantae, Streptophyta, Magnoliopsida, Poales, Poaceae. The transcript is spliced from 6 exons. The record is from RefSeq and is a predicted model, not a curated record.